Molecule: long non-coding RNA, 1374 nt
Organism: Oreochromis aureus
Lineage: Eukaryota; Metazoa; Chordata; Actinopteri; Cichliformes; Cichlidae
Source: Ensembl
AAAGACUGUAAUCCUUGAGAUGUUACUGCAGAAGAACCUUCUUGUAUCCUGAAUAUUGAACUCAAAGUUGUUCUGUUCAUAUUAUUUAUGGGCAGACAUCUGUGCCAUCAGAAACUGAAUUUGAAUAAGUUAAAUUUGAAUUUGAAUUACUUGGAUUGAAUCUGAAUUGUAACUUGAAUGAAAGCUUUUGAAAACUGAAUUUGAAUUAGUCUAAUUUGAAAUUGAAUUUAUGGUUUGAAACUGCAUUUUAUCCUUUAAAAAUUCAGCUCUCGAAUAAUUUCACAUUCACUUCUCACCAUUCAGUUUCAGUUCUACAAUUCAAUUUCAGUUCCAAAAUUCAGUUUUUUGGGACUUACAUCCGGUUCCGGUUCAAGCGCAGAUUAAUAGAACUACAGACUGAUAGCGUUACUGACGGAAUCUACAGCGUCUUGAGCUGAAUUAAGACUUCAGAAGUCAUUCGUCAUGUCGAAUGACCAGCGGAUAAACUCUCAGGUGAAGAGCCUGAGGCCGGUGACAGUCCAGUUCUACUCUAAGUACAUCCUUACGGUGGUUCACAGGACAAGGCGACAUUCCUGUCCUGCCAGAAGAGAAGAGAAACUUCAGAGUCUUCAUGAAGUUCAACCACACCUGUCAUAUGGAAUAUGACAGGGGUCUCAAACUCCAUUCCUCGAAGGCCGGUGUCAUGCAACUUUUCCAUGCGCCCUUGAGGACUGGAGUUUGAGACCCCUGCCGUAUGGUGUUCAUGCAGUUUUCUACCCCACAGUUACAGCAUGUCUGACUGCCUGUUCAGCAUAUGCAAAAAUAUAUGAUGAGUUUAAGCAUGUGAUGACUAAGGCCUUCCAUUAUGGUGUUUGUCAUCACAUGUCACAGACAUCUGGAUGAUCAUUUGGAAUAAACAAAAAAACAAAAAACUUGUUACUUCAUCUUUUAUCUUCAUUAUUAUUAUUAUUAUUGUUCUUAUUUUACAUUUUUCAUUGUUAGGCAUUGGGUUUAUUUGUAGUAGUCCUUUCCAGCUUCUUUCCCUCUUCCAUGUUACUGUGUCAGCUUGUCAGCAUCUAUUUGGGGUUGGGAGUGGAACAGGAAGUAAGGAACAGAAAGUGCCAUUUAAACCAGGAGAGGUUCUUAUAUUUCAGAAGAAGGGAUUAAUUCAAAAGAAAUGACCUCAAUGCCAUAUUUUAUUUAGGAACCCUAGAGAGCACUUUGCAAAAUAACACAUUCUUAUAAUUUCACCCUCAGAUGAGCCAAGCUACGACUGUCAGGGAAGGUGAUGUAGGUACAGAGCAUGUGAGAGUGGUUAAGUUAAUGUCUCUUGUCUAGAUGAAGGCACAGGAGGGAUCAAUGGCACAGCGUAGAGAUUCAGUAUCUUCAGUCUUC